Molecule: ribosomal RNA, 403 nt
Filed under: uncultured bacterium
Lineage: Bacteria
Description: bacterial SSU rRNA
Rfam family: Bacterial small subunit ribosomal RNA
Source: RNAcentral
UAGGGAAUAUUAGUAAUGGGCGAAAGCCUGAACUAGCAACGCCGCGUGUGCGAAGAAGGCCUUCGGGUUGUAAAGCACUUUUUGAGAGGAUGAGGAUGGACGGUACUCUCAGAAUAAGUCUCGGCAAACUACGUGCCAGCAGCCGCGGUAACACGUAGGAGGCGAACGUUAUCCGGAUUUACUGGGCGUAAAGCGCGUGUAGGUGGUUUGGUAAGUAGGGCGUGAAAGCUCCUGGCUCAACUGGGAGAGGCCGUUCUAAACUGCCGAACUAGAGGAUGGUAGAGGGAGGUGGAAUUCCGGGUGUAGCGGUGGAAUGCGCAGAUAUCCGGAGGAACACCAGUGGCGAAAGCGGCCUCCUGGACCACUCCUGACACUCAGACGCGAAAGCUAGGGUAGCAAACGG